Molecule: unclassified non-coding RNA, 841 nt
Filed under: Hevea brasiliensis (rubber tree)
Lineage: Eukaryota; Viridiplantae; Streptophyta; Magnoliopsida; Malpighiales; Euphorbiaceae
Source: RNAcentral
AGCCGGCCAAAGGUAACCUUCCCCCUUGCCCUUACUCAACAAUUUCAAGGUGGGCUUCACUUAUGGCCUCUUCAUUGAUGCAUUCAAGCUUGCUAGUUAAUUGUUUCAUUAAAAGUUUGAGUUGUGGGUUUUCCCACAUGUUAUAUGCUGAAGGUUUUUGGUUCUGUAAAGUUCUUUUAUUUCACGAUUCUAUUCUGAAUGAUAUAUUUCUCAUUCCUUACUGUCUUAUGGUUGAUGUAUGUCCAACCCGCCAAAGCUCUUCUGAGAUCAUCUUUUUACUUGUUUUUGUCAUGUUCUUUGGCUUUCACUUUGAGGAACAUCUCCUUUGAUUUUGCAAAUAUAUAAAAAUUCAUUUCUAAUCCUCUCUCAUUGUGAGAUAUGUUUAGGAAAAUCUCUCAUAUUUUCUUAAACUAUAACUUAUUGGCUAAAUGGAUUCUUAAUAUCUAAUUUGGUUGUUGCUAUGUAAAGUGAAAAACUCACUGGCAUGAAGGAUUUGAUAAGAAGAGGUUUGAUGCGAUAUUUCCCUCACAUGUUUUGGCACCCAAGAAAUAUUGUAUUGUAUUAAGGCCACGCUCAGCUAUUCGUGAAGUUGUUUUGUGAUAUGGCUUCCGUAGGUUCCAUAAUAUGAUUGUUAAGCAACGAACAGCUAAGAAUGAUGGUGUUAUUGUUUCAACUCAUAACAUGUGGUGCCAUCCUGUGAUCCACACUGCCCAACCUUUCUUCAGAGAUAAUGCCUCCAUUCAAGCGGUAUUGCCAUCUUAUACUCCAGGCUUAUAAAUUUUCAAUUAAAUGGAUUCAUUGUUGUUUUUUCUUUUUCAAGCCAGACUGGACAUGGUUGGUU